AGACGUAGGGGGCGAGCGUUGUCCGGAAUGAUUGGGCGUAAAGGGCGCGUAGGUGGCGCGGGAAGUCUGGAGUGAAAGUCCUGCUUUCAAGGCGGGACUUGCUUUGGAUACUGCCGCGCUUGAGUGCAGGAGAGGUUAUCGGAAUUCCCGGGGGAGCGGUGAAAUGCGUAGAGAUCGGGAGGAACACCAGUGGCGAAGGCGGGUAACUGGACUGCAACUGACGCUGAGGCGCGAAAGUGUGGGGAGCAAACAGGAUUAGAUACCCUGGUAGUCCACGCUGUAAACGAUGAAUGCUAGGUGUAAGAGGUAUCGACCCCUUUUGUGCCGGAGUCAACACAAUAAGCAUUCCGCCUGGGGAGUACGGCCGCAAGGUUGAAACUCAAAGGAAUUGACGGGG
RNAcentral lists this ribosomal RNA (397 nucleotides) under uncultured bacterium. RNAcentral describes it as "partial 16S ribosomal RNA". It matches the Rfam family "Bacterial small subunit ribosomal RNA", at positions 523 to 918 of the family's 1533-position model. The record is from RNAcentral.